The sequence is a regulatory RNA element, 129 nucleotides long. It matches the Rfam family "Ribosomal protein L10 leader". From Rfam's summary of the family: This family is a putative r-protein leader autoregulatory structure found in B. subtilis and other low-GC Gram-positive bacteria. It is located in the 5' untranslated regions of mRNAs encoding ribosomal proteins L10 and L12 (rplJ-rplL). The record is from Rfam.
UAAAAAAGAAUAGAUUUGCCGUAGAUAGUGGGUGCGAGAGCUUAAUAUCCCGCCGAGGUUUUAGAUAAAUUGAGAUUACUAAAGCUUUUGAUGUCUACUUUUGGCAACAAAAGCUUUUUAUAAUGUUGC